GAGUACCGCUAUUCGGAUUCGACUAAGACAUGCGAAGCGAGAGUCUUCGGGACUCGCUGGACUGCUCAGUAAUAUAUAGUUAACUUACCCUAGACUUGGGAAUAAUCUCGGGAAACUGAGGCUAAUACCCAAUAGACAUUCUGGUCUGGAAUGAUAGAAUGUUCAAAGUUCAGGCGGUCUAGGAUAGGACUAUAUCUUAUCAGCCUGUUGGGGAUGUAAUGUAUCCUCAAAGCGAUAACGGGUACGAGCCAUGAGAGUGGAAGCUCGGAGAUGGAUUCUGAGACAUGAAUCCAGGACCUACGGGUCGCAGCAGUUACGAAACCUUUACAAUGUGUUAGCGCACGAUAAGGGAAUCCGGAGUGUCUAUCCUUUGGAUAGACUUUUGUUUACUUCAAACAGGUAGGCGAAUAAGGGGUGGGUAAGACAGGUGCCAGCCGCCGCGGUAAUACCUGCGCCCCAAGUGGUAUUCAUGAUUAGUUGGUCUAAAGCGUCCGUAGCCGGUUUGAUAAGUCCUUAGUGAAAUUCACUCGUAAACGGGUGAGCUUGCUGGGGAUACUGUUAGACUUGGGACUGAGAGAGGGUAGAGGUACUCCUGGGGAAGGGGUAAAAUCCUAUAAUCCUAGGGGGACCACCGGUGGCGAAGGCGUCUACCUAGAGCAGGUCCGACGGUGAGGGACGAAACCUAGGGGAGCGAACGGGAUUAGAUACCCCGGUAGUCCUAGGCGUAAACGAUGCCCGUUUGGUGUUACAGAUCUUACGAGGGUUUGUAGUGCCG
This 775-nucleotide ribosomal RNA is filed under the name uncultured archaeon. RNAcentral describes it as "bacterial SSU rRNA". It matches the Rfam family "Archaeal small subunit ribosomal RNA", at positions 21 to 803 of the family's 1478-position model. The record is from RNAcentral.